AUGUAGUGCUCAAAGUCUGAUGAGAUCACCCAACCGUGGGCCCCUUCAGAAACUUCGCCCUGUCUUGCCCGGACAUCCAGAGAGACUCUGCGUGGGGAGAAGGUGGACAGGACACGGGAGAGGGACAGUUAAUUGAGCAGCACCAGAAACCUCCAGAAGAACCACCUGAGGAACCAGAGAGACUCUCUGUGCCCCCACAGCCCACAUCCCACCCCGGCCACUCUCAUCUGCAUCUCCUCAGACUGGAGGAGCUCAGGUGAGCUCACCUGGAGCCAGAGGCACCUUUACCAUCACUGCAGCAAAGGGACCCUGAACCACCUCCCCAGCAAGCAAACCCUGAAGUGUUCUGGCAAGAACCACCUGGAAACAAAGGUUUGUUUCUCACAAACCUGGAGUAGCCUGACCCUAAAAGGAAGAAGGGAAAAUGCCUGCAAUCCUCCAGAUCCAGAUACUGCCUCACUAAGAAAAGUUAACACUUUUUGGAGACCUGUGUCCCAUGACAGAAUUCCUGAUGCUGGAGGCUGUCAGGAGCUGUCCAAGGCUGUGUGAACUGUGGGAGCUGCAGAGCACUGACACGAAUUCCUUGCAGGCUGGAAGGAACUGGAGCUUUUCCCCUGGCCCCUAACAUCCCAAGGCAAGAACAGGAAUUGGGGCAGAUGUUUGGAAGCUUGCUGCUGCAGAGCUGCCAGGGGACUGUGCUGCCCAUGGAGGGGAGGAACACUGACUGUGACCUGAAGCCAGCAGAGGAGCAAAGCCUGAGCUGCUGCCUGCUCCCAGCAGAGGCAUGGGCUGAGCUGACCAGGAAUCCCCUGACUCGGGAUCCAUCAGACUGACUCGGCAGUGACUGAGGGCUGCCAGGGCCAUCUGCUCCCCUUCCAAGAAUUGCCAGCACUCAGGAAGUCCUGGCAGCAAAGGACUCCUUCAUUUCAGGUCCCACUUCCCAACCAAGUGCACAGGAAGCCAUCCUGCAGCAGGCAACUUCACAGCUCUGAGGCUGUGCCUAAGCAGCUCCAGCUCCAAGGCUUCCUCUAUGCAAAAUUCACAAUCCCAUGUGUCCCCAGGAAGGCCUGUGACAGAUCAAGGUCAGGAGAGGUGUGGAAAAGAUCAGAUGUGCUUGUAUGUCACGGCCAACCACCUUUUAUCUUCAGCCCCAGCCAUCCUCCAUCCUCUGGACUACAGAAGCUCCUUCCUGUGCUGAUGGAGAUCAAGGGCCAGCAGCCAGGAGCUCUGGCAGUGAUGGAACAGGGCAGGCUAAUGUCCUGCUUGCUUCACUUUGAAUUUGCUGUGGUUUUUCUUACAGAGAGGACUCUGAGCCUGUGAAUUUUGACCAGCAGGUGAAGCCUGAGGGACAGGCUUGGGGGAGCCUCAGGCUCACUCUGCCCAGUGCCACAGGGGCUUGGGGAGCACUGAAAAGCAGUGAGGGAAUGGGAGACAGGACACGGGGUGAUAUAAAAAAUGUGGGUUCAUAAAGCAGCCCCAGCAGGAUUUUUCAAUGCCAAUAUUGGUGCUGGUGGAGUUGGGAGCUGCUGUGCAGGGCUGGCACAGCAGGAGCUGGACCUCUCCAGGCAGUGAGGCUUUAUCUCAGCCCAUCCUUCAGCAGAGCCUUUAUCCCCAUUUAGCAGGGUGUGAGAUGCUCCUCCACCUUCAGCCAAGUGCUCUGUGUCAAGGAGCCAAGAGCUGGAAGCCAAAGCAGCCUGGCAGCCAGGCUGAGGCAGGGCAGGAGGCAGGGACGUGUGCCUGGAGCCUUCUCCUGCAAACUCCACACACACCCUGCUCACACCUUCAUCUGUGUUCAACCAGGAAGGGCAGUGCUGGAAGAUGAACUCUCCCUCCAUGCACUCUUGAGGAGUUCCCAAGUCAGGAUUCCUGCUGGCAUUUGCUAACUAGGACCCCAAGGCUGCUGGGCCUGGGCAAAGCACGACAAGCUGGAUGCUGGAAUCCCCCCAGAUAAACUCAACUCAGCCAUGAUGGAAUCCCCCCCAAAUAAACUCAGCUCAGCCAUGAUGGAAUCCCCCCCCAAAUAAACUCAGCUCAGCCAUGAUGGAAUCCCCCCCAAUAAACUCAGCUCAGCCAUGAUGGAAUCCCCCCAAAUAAACUCAGCCAUGAUGGAAU
Haemorhous mexicanus (house finch) is the source of this 2112-nucleotide long non-coding RNA. RefSeq lists it as uncharacterized. The transcript is spliced from 3 exons. Lineage: Eukaryota; Metazoa; Chordata; Aves; Passeriformes; Fringillidae. The record is from RefSeq and is a predicted model, not a curated record.